GCCCACGUGGAGCAGCCUGGAGUGCUCGUCACCCUGUCAAGGUGAAGGUCGCCGGAUCGAAGCCGGUCGUGGGCG
RNAcentral lists this transfer RNA (75 nucleotides) under Actinomycetes bacterium. RNAcentral describes it as "Actinobacteria bacterium tRNA-Asp". The record is from RNAcentral. Lineage: Bacteria; Bacillati; Actinomycetota; Actinomycetes. RNAcentral also lists the same sequence under 1 other name.